This 496-nucleotide ribosomal RNA is filed under the name uncultured Sphingobacteriales bacterium. Its description in RNAcentral is "bacterial SSU rRNA". It matches the Rfam family "Bacterial small subunit ribosomal RNA", at positions 882 to 1382 of the family's 1533-position model. The record is from RNAcentral. Lineage: Bacteria; Pseudomonadati; Bacteroidota; Sphingobacteriia; Sphingobacteriales.
GCCCGCUCAAGAAACUUAAAGGAAGUUGACGGGGCCCGCACAAGCGGAGGAGCAUGUGGUUUAAUUCGAUGAUACGCGAGGAACCUUACCUGGGCUCGAACGUAAGAUGACUGUAGGUGAAAGCUUACAUCUCUUCGGAGCAUUUUUACGAGGUGCUGCAUGGUUGUCGUCAGCUCGUGCCGUGAGGUGUCGGGUUAAGUCCCAUAACGAGCGCAACCCUACCUUUAGUUGCCAUCAGGUUAAGCUGGGGACUCUAAAGGAACUGCCUACGCAAGUAGUGAGGAAGGCGGGGAUGACGUCAAAUCAGCACGGCCCUUACGUCCAGGGCUACACACGUGCUACAAUGGCCGAUACAGAGGGCAGCUACCUGGUGACAGGAUGCAAAUCUCCAAAGUCGGUCUCAGUUCGGAUCGGAGUCUGCAGCCCGACUCCGUGAAGUUGGAUUCGCUAGUAAUCGCGCAUCAGCCAUGGCGCGGUGAAUACGUUCCCGGGCCUU